GCACGAUUAGCUAGUUGGUAGGGUAACGGCCUACCAAGGCUUUGAUCGUUAGCUGGUCUGAGAGGAUGGCCAGCCACACUGGAACUGAGACACGGUCCAGACUCCUACGGGAGGCAGCAGUGGGGAAUCUUGCACAAUGGGCGAAAGCCUGAUGCAGCGACGCCGCGUGGGGGAUGAAGCUUUUCGGAGUGUAAACCCCUUUCGACCCGGACGAAUGUCCCGCAAGGGAACUGACGGUACGGGUAUAAGAAGCCCCGGCUAACUACGUGCCAGCAGCCGCGGUAAGACGUGGGGGGCCAGCGUUGCUCGGAAUUACUGGGUGUAAAGGGUUCGUAGGCGGUGUAGCAAGUCGGGAGUGAAAUCUCUGGGCUCAACCCAGAGACUGCUUCCGAAACUGCUGUGCUUGAGUGUGGGAGAGGCGCGUGGAAUUGCAGGUGUAGCGGUGAAAUGCGUAGAUAUCUGCAGGAACACCCGUGGCGAAAGCGGCGCGCUGGACCACUACUGACGCUGAGGAACGAAAGCUAGGGGAGCA
Molecule: ribosomal RNA, 532 nt
Filed under: uncultured bacterium
Lineage: Bacteria
Description: bacterial SSU rRNA
Rfam family: Bacterial small subunit ribosomal RNA
Source: RNAcentral